AUGAGAAAUUGUAAAAUACUAUUUCAAAUUUUUAGAGUUAACCAUUAUAUUGGAUUAUAAAUUUAAACUGUAAUUUUCGUUCUAGCUCUUGUAUUACAAUUUAAUAUUUAUUGCAUAAAACCGUUUUUAUUACCUUCAACAACAUGUUGAAUGUGUAGUGAUCACGUCACCUACAGGUAUCAGUAGUCAAGGAUGAUGGUUGGAAGACUGGCGUGAAGGUGCUCUGGCUAGUCUGGUCAAGUCGCGUCUGAAUACAGGCCGUUUCGGGGUCCCUUAUAUAGUGCUACCCUCUACUCCCCAUAGUCUACUCGUUCUUGUCGCUGUUCUCACGGAUGUGGUAUAAUUAUCUAGACUGACGGAAAUGUUACUCGCCCACAUACAAGCCAAAUGUGCAUCCCGUGCAGCUGCAAACCUUGAAAUGCUGUCCCUCCUACAUUUACAAGGAUCGUCGCACCCUUCCCUAGAUUGAUGCGGCUGGUACCUAGUUGACCGUGAACUAUGCAAUGCGGGACGCUAGUCCAUAGCAAAUGCAUGUUUAUUUUGCCUGAAAUCAUCAAAAUCACACCUAGGUCUAUUAUUGCAUAAAUUUCCAACAUAGAAGUUGGCCCCAAAAUUUAUGGAUUUCUAAUUAAUGAUAAUGGAUAUAAUUGAAAAAUGUGCUCCAGGAAUUUUGAGGAAGAUUGUUUUAUUGAAAAUAUUAAACAGUAAAUGCCUUUAAAUAACGUUGCAGACCUAAAAUUAUAAUCACAGAGGAUUGUGGUGUAUCUGUAUUAGAACCUGAAGUAUUGUGGCCUACAUUUCCAAAUCUUAUAUCUAUUUAUGAAUCAAAAGAACCUUUGGAUUUGUUGUUAAGUCCUAAUAUAAAUGAAUUAUUUGCUGUAACACAAAGUUCUUUAAUUGUGAUAUUACAACAUCAGACCUGGAUACUCCACGACGUGCAAAGWAUCGUUUUAAAUUAGCAAAAAUCAAAAUCAAUAAAAAAAUCAAUGUAUUACAUCAAAAAAUGAGAUGAAUUCAAAUCAAGCUAACAAACUUCAAAGCUUUAUUUAAAAAUUUAGAUAUUAAAUUGAUGAUACUUAUGAUUAUAUAUUGGUAGGUAAAUAGACAAGUAGACAACUGUACUCUGUUGGUACAGAGGUUCCUAAACUUUUCACCGACAAUCAAUUUUAGAGAAUUUUUAAUGGCAACCCACAGUAUACUUAUUACCAUUUUUGCUGUUUUGUUAUAUCUGAAAUAACUUAAAGUAUGUCAACGUUGUGAUGACAUGUAACUAUAUCACUGGUACACUUGUAACCCCUUAUAUGUACCGUGUGUUCACCAGUUUAGGGAACACUGAAUUUCUCGGCCAGAUUAUGUUGGAAUAAAUCAAAUUUUUUUUACAAACUGUUGGUAUAUAAAUACACAUUUUCAGAUAAACUUCACAUUUUUAACCGGCUUGGUACGCACAUGCGCAACGCAACUUUUUUUUUUUAAUGGCAACCUGUUAUUUUUGAUACCAAAUUCGGAUAGACUGAAUAUUUUUACGUCAUUUUGACCAAUUAACCAUGGCUCUUAAACCUAAAUUAACUAAAUGAGAGCCAUUCAAAUUUUAAUCAAUAAUACAGUUUUGCAAUUCAUUAUAA
Diuraphis noxia (Russian wheat aphid) is the source of this 1622-nucleotide long non-coding RNA. RefSeq lists it as uncharacterized. The record is from RefSeq and is a predicted model, not a curated record. NCBI's taxonomy places the organism in Eukaryota, Metazoa, Arthropoda, Insecta, Hemiptera, Aphididae.